ACCCCAAUAGCUAGCCCACCUAAAAACUACAACAAACAACAUCAAUAACCCCACAAUUAAUACACCCCCAUAACAAACCAUUUUUCCCCCUAAGUAUGGGAGACAGAAAAGGAAAUUCGGAGCAACAGAAAAAGUACCGCAAGGGAAAGCUGAAAGAGAACUGAAAUAAUUCAGUAAAGGACAAAGCAGCAGAGAUUUCCCCUCGUACCUUUUGCAUCAUGAUUUAGCGAGCAUCUCCCAAGCAAAGAGCCCUUUAUGUUUGCGACCCCGAAACUAAGCGAGCUACUCCAAGACAGCCUAUUAUAGGGCCAACCCGUCUCUGUGGCAAAAGAGUGGGAAGAGCUUUGAGUAGAGGUGACAGACCUACCGAGCCUAGUAAUAGCUGGUUGCCUGAAAAUUGAAUAGAAGUUCAGCCUUUUAAAUUUUUUAAUCCCCGAAGGCAAGCCCUGCGCCCGACCAAAAGUAAUUAAAAGAGUAAAUCAAAGGAGGAACAGCUCCUUUGAAUAAAGACACAACUUUAAAAGAAGGUAAAAGAUCAUAUUAGCCAAGGUUACAUACCCAGGUGGGCCUAAAAGCAGCCACCCCUGACGAAAGCGUUAAAGCUCAAGUAUAUAAACCCUAAAAUUACGAUAACAAUAUCCUAAGCCCCUUAAAACAUCAGGCCCACCCAUGCAGCCAUGGGUGAGACAAUGCUAAAAUGAGUAAUAAGAGAGGAAAGCCUCUCUCAAACGCGCAUGUGUAAAUCAGAACGAACCCUCACUGAAAAUUAACGCCCUCAGCCCAAGAGUGAAGUGAAUAAAGCUAAAUAAAACAAGAAAGCCCCUCAAAAUAAUAAAGCGUUAACCCCACACUGGAGCGCCCCCUGAAAGACAAAAAGGAAAAGAAGGAACUCGGCAAACACUGGCCUCGCCUGUUUACCAAAAACAUCGCCUCUUGCUUUAUAGUAUAAGAGGUCCCGCCUGCCCUGUGACUAAAAAGUUUAACGGCCGCGGUAUUUUGACCGUGCGAAGGUAGCGUAAUCACUUGUCUUUUAAAUAGAGACCUGUAUGAAUGGCAUAACGAGGGCCAAGCUGUCUCCUUUCCCUAGUCAAUGAAAUUGAUCUGUCCGUGCAGAAGCGGACAUACAAACAUAAGACGAGAAGACCCUAUGGAGCUUAAGACAACAAGAUAUGCCACGUCAAAUGCCCGAACCCCCCCCCCCCCGGAUUGAACAAACUGGUCCAUAUUUUAAUGUCUUCGGUUGGGGCGACCGCGGAGAAACAAAAAACCCCCGCGUGGAAUGGGGCCCACCCCAAAGCUAGAGCCACAGCUCUAACUAACAGAAUAUCUGACCAGCAAGAUCCGGUAUUACCGAUUAACGGACCCAGUUACCCUAGGGAUAACAGCGCAAUCCCCUUAUAGAGUCCAUAUCGACAAGGGGGUUUACGACCUCGAUGUUGGAUCAGGACUUCCUAAUGGUGCAGCCGCUAUUAAGGGUUCGUUUGUUCAACGAUUAAAGUCCUACGUGAUCUGAGUUCAGACCGGAGAAAUCCAGGUCAGUUUCUAUCUAUGGAUAGCUCUUUCCUAGUACGAAAGGAUCGGAAAGAGGGGGCCCAUGCUGUAAGCAUGCCCCCUCCCCACCUAAUGCCUUCAAAUAAAAGAGGCAAGGGGGCUUAAAAGCCUGCCUGAGAAAAAGGCAA
This 1679-nucleotide ribosomal RNA is filed under the name Acentrogobius caninus (tropical sand goby). RNAcentral's name for it is "16S ribosomal RNA". It matches the Rfam family "Bacterial large subunit ribosomal RNA". Lineage: Eukaryota; Metazoa; Chordata; Actinopteri; Gobiiformes; Gobiidae. The record is from RNAcentral.